CCUAGGGAGGCUGCAGUGAGGAAUAUUGCACAAUGGGGGGAACCCUGAUGCAGCAACGCCGCGUGGAGGAUGACGCAUUUCGGUGUGUAAACUCCUUUUAUAUGUCAAGAAAAUGACGGUAGCAUAUGAAUAAGCACCGGCUAACUCCGUGCCAGCAGCCGCGGUAAUACGGAGGGUGCAAGCGUUACUCGGAAUCACUGGGCGUAAAGGACGCGUAGGCGGGUUGGAAAGUCAGGUGUGAAAUCCUACAGCUUAACUGUAGAACUGCACUUGAAACUUCUAAUCUAGAGUAUGGGAGGGGGAGAUGGAAUUAGUGGUGUAGGGGUAAAAUCCGUAGAUAUCACUAGGAAUACCUAAAGCGAAGGCGAUCUCCUGGAACAUUACUGACGCUAAGGCGUGAAAGCGUGGGGAGCAAACAGGAUUAGAUACCCCUGUAGUC
This 439-nucleotide ribosomal RNA is filed under the name uncultured bacterium. Its description in RNAcentral is "partial 16S ribosomal RNA". It matches the Rfam family "Bacterial small subunit ribosomal RNA", at positions 338 to 795 of the family's 1533-position model. The record is from RNAcentral.